Molecule: ribosomal RNA, 253 nt
Filed under: uncultured bacterium
Lineage: Bacteria
Description: partial 16S ribosomal RNA
Rfam family: Bacterial small subunit ribosomal RNA
Source: RNAcentral
UACGGAGGGGGCUAGCGUUGUUCGGAAUUACUGGGCGUAAAGCGCACGUAGGCGGAUUGGAAAGUCAGGGGUGAAAUCCCGGGGCUCAACCCCGGAACUGUCUUUGAAACUCCCAGUCUUGAGGUCGAGAGAGGUGAGUGGAAUUCCAAGUGUAGAGGUGAAAUUCGUAGAUAUUCGGAGGAACACCAGUGGCGAAGGCGGCUCACUGGCUCGAUACUGACGCUGAGGUGCGAAAGCGUGGGGAGCAAACAGG